AUGGCGUCCUCAUCCACCAUUUCCCUCAACCUUGGUGCUCUCCCAUCUGAGAAGCUCACCAAGACCAACUUCAUCCUAUGGAAGGCACAGGUCAUGCUGGGCUUGCGAGGAGCGCAGGUCACCGGCCUCCUGGACGGAUCAGAUGCAGCGCCACCAAAGACGGUGCAGCAGCAGCAUGCGGACAAAACCACCGCCCCAGAACCCAAUCCUCUGUAUGCGCAGUGGAUAUCAAAAGAUCAGCAAGUUCUGAGCCAUCUCCUGAAUUCUCUGUCAAUGGAGAUCCUCGCCCAAGUUGCGAGCAAGGAGACGAUGUUCGAUCUCUGGACUGCCAUCACUACCCUGUUCGCCUCGCAGUCCCAAUCGCGCAUCACCAACCUACGCAUCGCCAUCGCCAACACAAAGAAAGGCUCCAUGUCCAGCAACGCCUUUAUCUCCAAGAUGAAGAGCUUGGGAGAUGAGCUUGCAGCGGCAGGUCGCCCCGUCUCGGACCCGGAGAUGGUGGACUAUGUUUUUGCCGGCCUCGACAGAGAUUAUGACCCUGUUGUGGCAGCGAUCGGUGCGGUAAAGAACCAAAUCUUUGUGGACGAUCUAUUCGCUCAUAUUGCGGCGUUCGAUCAGCGCAUGGAGAUGCUCGGCGAUGGUCCUGAAGCCGGCUUCAAAACUUCUGCCAAUAUGGUAUACAGAGGGUGCGGGCGCGGCUAUGGCAGAGGACGCGGACGCAGCAACAGGGGCCGCGGCCGAGGCAGGCGCCCUUCCCCAACUCCAUCUGGCGGCAACAACGGCGGCGGCGCCCGUGGUCGUCCACAACAGCAGCGUCAGCAACAAUCCGGAACUAUCCAGAAUGCCAGAUAUGUUACAAGCACCAUCCAGGAGGUGCUCGUGACUGUUGGCACAGGUACGAUGAAGACGAACAGGAGGAGAAGGGGGCCAACAUGGUCACUGACUCCUACGGUGUCGACACAAAUUGGUAUGCGGAUACCGGGGCUACAAACCACAUCACGGGGGAGCUCGACAAGCUGA
Molecule: ribosomal RNA, 1020 nt
Filed under: Triticum aestivum (bread wheat)
Lineage: Eukaryota; Viridiplantae; Streptophyta; Magnoliopsida; Poales; Poaceae
Description: partial small subunit ribosomal RNA
Source: RNAcentral